AACAUCGCCUCCUGCAAAAAUCAAUGUAUAGGAGGUCCUGCCUGCCCAGUGACAACUUGUUAAACGGCCGCGGUAUUUUGACCGUGCUAAGGUAGCGCAAUCACUUGUCUUUUAAAUGAAGACCUGUAUGAAUGGUGGAACGAGGGCUUAACUGUCUCCCUUCUCCCGUCAAUGAAAUUGAUCUGCCCGUGCAGAAGCGGGCAUACAUAUACAAGACGAGAAGACCCUUUGGAGCUUAUUGGGGCGACCGCGGGGGAAAACAAAGCCCCCACGUAAAACCGAGAGAGACAUCUCUAAGCCACAGAACAUCUGACCAAAAGAUCCGGCCCACAAGCCGAUCAACGAACCAAGUUACCCUAGGGAUAACAGCGCAAUCCUUUCCAAGAGUUCAUAUCGACGAGAGGGUUUACGACCUCGAUGUUGGAUCAGGACAUCCUAAUGGUGCAGCCGCUAUUAAGGGUUCGUUUGUUCAACGAUUAAAGUCCUACGUGAUCU
This 495-nucleotide ribosomal RNA is filed under the name Cyphocharax spiluropsis. RNAcentral's name for it is "partial 16S ribosomal RNA". It matches the Rfam family "Bacterial large subunit ribosomal RNA", at positions 1812 to 2606 of the family's 2925-position model. Lineage: Eukaryota; Metazoa; Chordata; Actinopteri; Characiformes; Curimatidae. The record is from RNAcentral.